AGUGAACGCUGGCGGUAGGCCUAACACAUGCAAGUCGAACGGCAGCACAGUAAGAGCUUGCUCUUACGGGUGGCGAGUGGCGGACGGGUGAGGAAUACAUCGGAAUCUACUUUUUCGUGGGGGAUAACGUAGGGAAACUUACGCUAAUACCGCAUACGACCUACGGGUGAAAGCAGGGGAUCUUCGGACCUUGCGCGAUUGAAUGAGCCGAUGUCGGAUUAGCUAGUUGGCGGGGUAAAGGCCCACCAAGGCGACGAUCCGUAGCUGGUCUGAGAGGAUGGCGCGCCCCAGAGAAACUGAGAAACCGCCCAGGCCCCUAGGGGGGGCCCAAGGGGGGAAUUUUGGCAAAGGGGGGGAAUCUUGCACCAUCCAUACCGGGGGGGUGAAGAAGCCCUUCGGGUUGGAAAACCCUUUUGUGGGGAAAAAAAACCAUCAGGUUAAACCCCCCGUGUUUGGCGGGAACCCAAAAAAAAACCCCCGGCAAAUUUGUG
This 491-nucleotide ribosomal RNA is filed under the name uncultured bacterium. RNAcentral's name for it is "partial 16S ribosomal RNA". It matches the Rfam family "Bacterial small subunit ribosomal RNA", at positions 29 to 507 of the family's 1533-position model. The record is from RNAcentral.